CCUACGGGUGGCAGCAGUGAGGAAUAUUGGUCAAUGGACGAGAGUCUGAACCAGCCAAGUAGCGUGAAGGAUGACUGCCCUACGGGUUGUAAACUUCUUUUAUAAGGGAAUCAAGUGAUGCACGUGUGGCUUUUUGUAUGUACCUUAUGAAUAAGGAUCGGCUAACUCCGUGCCAGCAGCCGCGGUAAUACGGAGGAUCCGAGCGUUAUCCGGAUUUAUUGGGUUUAAAGGGAGCGUAGAUGGGUUGUUAAGUCAGUUGUGAAAGUUUGCGGCUCAACCGUAAAAUUGCAGUUGAUACUGGCAGUCUUGAGUACAGUAGAGGUGGGCGGAAUUCGUGGUGUAGCGGUGAAAUGCUUAGAUAUCACGAAGAACUCCGAUUGCGAAGGCAGCUUACUAGACUGCAACUGACACUGAGGCUCGAAAGUGUGGGUAUCAAACAGGAUUAGAUACCCGGGUAGUC
Molecule: ribosomal RNA, 460 nt
Filed under: uncultured bacterium
Lineage: Bacteria
Description: partial 16S ribosomal RNA
Rfam family: Bacterial small subunit ribosomal RNA
Source: RNAcentral